Molecule: transfer RNA, 97 nt
Filed under: Coprinellus micaceus
Lineage: Eukaryota; Fungi; Basidiomycota; Agaricomycetes; Agaricales; Psathyrellaceae
Also listed under: 1 other name
Rfam family: tRNA
About the family: Transfer RNA (tRNA) molecules are approximately 80 nucleotides in length.
Source: Rfam by way of RNAcentral
GGCUACCUGGCGCAAUGGUAGCGCGUUUGGCUUCGACGGCUCAACGGCAAUUGCGAUAGGCACCAAAAGGUUGCAGGUUCGAGUCCUGCGGUGGUCA